This 421-nucleotide unclassified non-coding RNA is filed under the name soil metagenome. RNAcentral's name for it is "partial contains 5.8S ribosomal RNA, internal transcribed spacer 2, and large subunit ribosomal RNA". The stretch from base 1 to 120 matches the Rfam family "5.8S ribosomal RNA", at positions 35 to 154 of the family's 154-position model. The record is from RNAcentral.
GAUGAAGAACGCAGCGAAAUGCGAUACGUAAUGUGAAUUGCAGAAUUCAGUGAAUCAUCGAAUCUUUGAACGCAUAUUGCGCUCUUUGGUAUUCCGAAGAGCAUGCUUGUUUGAGUAUCAGUAAACACCUCAACCUCUUCUUGAUUUUUCAAAAGGAGGGUGGACUUGAGCUAUCCCAACAACCUUUACCGGUCGGCGGGCGGCUUGAAAUGCAGGUGCAGCUGGACUUUUAUCUGUGCUAAAAGCAUAUCUAUUUAGUCCUCGUCAAACAGGAUUAUUACUUUUGCUGCAGCUAACAUAAAGGAUAAUUGUCCUCUUUGCUGACUGAUGCAGGAUUUUACGACACUUUAUGUGUUGUUAAACUCGAUCUCAAAUCAAGUAAGACUACCCGCUGAACUUAAGCAUAUCAAUAAGCGGAGGA